UUACUGCGGAAGGAUCAUUA
Molecule: ribosomal RNA, 20 nt
Filed under: Sistotrema chloroporum
Lineage: Eukaryota; Fungi; Basidiomycota; Agaricomycetes; Cantharellales; Hydnaceae
Description: partial 18S ribosomal RNA
Source: RNAcentral